RNAcentral lists this ribosomal RNA (1068 nucleotides) under Triticum aestivum (bread wheat). RNAcentral describes it as "partial small subunit ribosomal RNA". The record is from RNAcentral. Lineage: Eukaryota; Viridiplantae; Streptophyta; Magnoliopsida; Poales; Poaceae.
AUGUCCUCGCCGGCGCCGCACCUCGUCGACGAGAUCCUGGAGGAGAUCUUCCUCCGCCUGCCCACCCCGGCCGCGCUCGCCCGCGCCUCCACCGCCUGCCCCCGUUUCCGCCGCAUCGUCACCGGCCGCUCCUUUCUCCGCCACUAUCGCAAACGCCAUCCGCCGCCGCUCCUCGGAUUCGUCGACGAGAGCGGAUUCCACCCCGCCCAGGAACCCCACCCCUCCGCCCCGCUCGCCCGUGCCCUCGCCGACGCUGCCGAUUUCACCUACUCCUUCGUCCCCAAGCCCAGCAUGGGGCGCUGGAGACCGCGGGACGCCCGUGAUGGCCGCGUCGUUCUCCAGGCCGAUAGCUUUUGUUGGAACAGCAACCUCGCGGUAUGUGAUCCACUAUCACGGCGUCACCUGCUGCUUCCGCCCAUACCGGAUGAGCUGGCUGCUGUCGGGGGAAAGCGCCCUGUUGAAAUCGUGCCCAUCCUAGCUCCCAUUGGCGAGGAGGACGAUGAUGAGACCUCGUUCAAGGUAAUAUGCUUUGCAGACUAUCAAACCAACCUGGUGACGGUGCCGUGGCUUGUCAUGUUUCGACUACGUGCGCGGAUGCUUCUACUCGGCGUCACCUUGGAUGGACAAGUUACUGGUGCUGGACAUUCGAAGAAUGGAAUUUUCUACAGUCAACGAUCGCACUGGCUACCAUAUGCAUCUCAGAUGUCUGCCUGGCCAGGCAGACAAAGUUCUUGCCAGAAAUGCCCAAAUGGCUCGUUUGAUCUCUAUCAUACUACUCAGCAAAAUAACUCUGAAUCUCCCAAGGAAUGGCAGCUGGAGAACAUUAUACAGUUGCCUGGCCAGUAUGAUUAUUUCACCUCGGGCGCGGCUGAGGGAUUCUUAUUCCUUGGAGCCACUACAGAAGAUCAGCUGGACAUUGAUGAAGACUCGCCGGUGUGGUUGUCGAGGACUGAUUGGGAUGUAGACUAUUUUUCUCUGGAUGUCAAGACUUCUGAGCUUGUAAAGGAAGCCAACAGUGAUCAUGCAUGUGUUCAACAAUUGCCUACAUGUUCUGCCAUCAGAUUCUGA